RNAcentral lists this long non-coding RNA (625 nucleotides) under Homo sapiens (human). RNAcentral describes it as "non-protein coding lnc-ZNF582-1:2". Lineage: Eukaryota; Metazoa; Chordata; Mammalia; Primates; Hominidae. The record is from RNAcentral.
GGCUGUGAGUCCAUCGCUGAGAAAAGGGAGCUGGAGGACCAGUGUGGAGCCUGAGCCAGCUGGAGAGGGGCCCGGUAGGAUGUGAGCAGCAACUGUUUGGGCUGGUGGCACAGAGGUAAAAGAACUUACCAAGACAGCUGUGGGUGAAGAAAGGCAGAUUUAUUAAAGACAGUAUCAAAGUAUGUUAUCAGGGAGCAACAGGCAGAAUCAGUGGAAGAGGAGCUGACUGCAAGGAAACAAAGGCUUGCUGGAGAUUUUAUAGGAUGGUUCCUGGGCUGAUUGAUAAUGCCAAGGCAGCAGGGAGCUGACCUGCAUUCUUCUGUCACCCGAGGUGUUUGAUGAUAAGUGGAUGCGUGCGUUUGAUGAUAAGCAGGAAGUUUGUGAGUUACGUUCAUUAUUUGCUCGGCAGGGCUGUAUGUCCUGGGUCAUAAAGAAAAGCAAGCCUAUAGCUUAUCUGCUUCCUUUUUUUGUUUAUAUAUCCUGGACCAUGAAGAAAAUGCAGAUCUAUAGCUUAUUUGCUUUAUCUCUUUGCUUUCCCCUGGUCCCACCAGCCUGACUCCUUUUCCCUACGUACGAAUCCACAUUCUUCCUAAACAGGUAAUCAGCAGACGUAUGUCUACCUAGC